UGGCAGAUUGUCCAAAUCAUCCGCUGUGCCGUUUUAUUUCUGACGGCUUCCAACAGGUGGGCGCACCGGCGUUCGUUCGUUUGACUCGAUGAAUCGGUCGUCCGGCAGUGCUCACUUUUCAAGUUUAUUGGAGUAGGCCCUAGGGUAGGCCUGCCGUGAUUUUCCUGCAAACAUCGACCAGAAUGUAAAGCCCAUACGUCAUAUAUCCUUCUAAAGUUUUGUGAAGUGUUUCCCAGCAGCUUCCAUUGCAUUCGGCACGUCCUGCGGAUGUUUUUGUUCGUGAAAACACUCCCUGGAGACGCGGCUAUUUCCGCCAAUACCGUUGGAAUAAGCAAUUUUCUUUUUUUUUUUUUUAUGAACUGAUUUGGCAAUGCGCCACAGCUGAGAACAGCAGCCAGCGCAUUUAUUGUGCACACACCCGCAACAACGAGUAUUUCGAUCACGCCAAUAUGAUUUCAGAGACGCGCCAGGUUGCGCCGUGCGAUUAAUGCCGGUCACGGUUGUUUAUCAGCCUUCAGCGGCGCUAUCGCGGAGGCAUGCCAACCAGCGGACGUCCAGAGGAGUGAUGUGCACGUGAUACUAUAUGACGCUCGUCCGAAGUGCCGAAAAGUGGGCAAACAGCAGACAAGCAAACAGAAUUCAAACAGAGGACAUUCAAGAUAUUCGUUUAUAUAUAAGAUGCUGUACGUAAAUGCUCUUCACUAAAAAAAAAGAGAGAGAGAGAAAUAUGCGGUUCUGCGUGCUAAAACGAUUAUGAGGUACGCCGUAGUGGGGCACCCGGUGGUUAUUCUUUAGCGUGCACCUAAAUCUAAAGGCCAAACUACAUGUGCGCUUGCAGGCGCGCAAAAACUCACGCCCGCGCGCCUUACGUUUACCUCAUGAGGAAUGCUGAUUUGAACCAAGGAGGUCAUUAAAAGAAAAAAAAAAAAAAAAAAAAAACAUUGCUGGCGUGGCAGCCCCCGCAGUUUCUUACCAACACAGGCGAAGCAGCUCCACUCCGGCAAACAUUUUUAAGCCUCCUUGGUCACGCCAGGCCGCGUCCGUGAAUUUCAGUGCUGGUGCAGUCUACGCUUAGAUCUCUUUUUUGUUGUUUGUUUGCUUUCCUCUCUUUCAUUUGUAGUGACGGCCGUCUUGGGUAUACGUCACGGUCUCGGCGUAUAGGUACGGGCCUUGUGUUAGGUGUUUUCAUGACAUCUGUAUAAUGUUGUACCUUCGACGGUCUUACACGCGCUUGGCUCCUAGGUAAUUUUGAAUCGAGCACCGAGGCUGAGCUCUCCAGUCGAGUCUACUCCAGCGGCGCUGAGAGCUUCUCCCAAUCGGCGCGGUGUUCGAUAUGACCCUUAUCCCAGCGGCUGCAGGCGUGGCCGUUGAUGGAGGUACGGGAGAAGGAGCGGGCGAGAUUCUGCGAGAACCCGCUGCCGUGGUUAUAAACGGCCGCGCCGGCCAUGGUUUGGAGGAGGACACCGCCGGUUCUGUCACGCUACACUGAGGACGAAUAAAUGAGCGCAGCGCAGAUUAGCGCGCACGUCGAACCGGAAAUGGGAAUCCGAUUUCCUCUCUCUGCAACGGUCCGAUCUCCAAUCUUUGUCUUGCGCGGAACAUCCCGCCCUGUUCUUGCAAGCGGUAGUCGCGCAUGGAAGCGAGCACGGCUCCAUUGUGUCCUGUUCUGUCGGCCGUGACCUUUCUCUCCUAGCCGCGGAAAUAAAAAAAUAAACACAAAGAAAUGCGUUUAUGCGUCACUGGAAGGAUAUGCAGGCCGUUCUCACGCAGCCACCGGCGUUCCGCUGCCGCCGCCGCCGCGCGACCGUGAAACCGAAGGAAUGCGACGCUUUCUCGUAUUACACCCCCUGGUUUUGUCGGCAGCGUUGUCCGCACCCUGCAGCUUCCCACCCGCUAUACCUACUCUUAAGACCGCCAUUGCUGUUCAGCGGUAGUCGCUGCUUGCAACAUUUCGAAGCAGCUUUGUUUUUCUUUGCCACGUUUAAUCUCUUUCUGCCGUUUUAUCCUCUUAUUCCAAAGAAAGCGCAGAUUACGCGUCGAAUGUGCUCCAAUUACUGCUAAUAAACGUAUGCAUAGACAAACCACUCAACUAACGGUUAACAUUGCAGGCUUGGACAGUGAAUUUCACAUCUUCUUCUACAGGAAUCGGUUUCUAAGCCUUGGCUCACCUUGUUAUCGUUCCGCGUACUGUAAACAACUGGCGAAACAAGCGUCUAAGCCUCAAUUGCAACUUCCACUAAAAUAAGACGCACGCGUUUACGUAGGCGAGGCAUUAAUGCGACUCCGCUGGUUCCGCUCCAAUCUUAGCUUACGGAUUGUUUGCUCCGCUAUCCAGUGCGUCAUAUGCCCCAACACGGAUUGGCGCGGUAAUAAGUAUUUGUUCGGACCAAACACUUAUUGCCCGUCGUAUACCGAUUCUCGUGACCUUUUUUCUUGCUACGCUGCACAAAUAGCUCCAACUGAUGGACGUAUAGUCCUUACGCCAUGCGCGGCUAAUUCAUCCCAUGCCGGAUGGGGACCCAUCUCCGCUGACGUAAUUGGCGUAUCCACCGUAACCCGUAGCAAGGUUGUACGAAUCAAGGAACGGAUACGGCGAAGAUGCAUGCCCUGUGUGGUCGGCGAAAGACGACGUAGCGAAAACGAGUUUUUUCGCUUGUGUUUGUGUUUUCUUUUCCCCUUCACUUCUGCUGCUCUCCGUGUUUGCAGACGACGUCCGUCUGCCCAUAUGCGCACCUCUAACGUUUCUUUUCCUGUCGUCUGCAUUUCUCGUUUGAGGCGGCGGUAUACUGACACGGGUCCGCGAGUGGUGGCAACUAAAGAAAAAAAAGAAUGAGAACUGCCUCGCUCGUACACGACCACUUGCUCUUCUUCACGGUGUAAGAUUCAAGAUUGCCUCAGCUUAAGCGCGUUUUUCCAAACGGAUUUACCUGGUCUGGUCCCGACGGGCAGUUAGACAUAUUCGUGCCGGACCUGCUCGGCGUAGCAUGACGUCAGACAAGCGCGCGUUUGUGUGGGGCGUGCGCGCUAGGGACGACGCCGUUCGCCCCCAAAAAUAGCCGCACCAACACGGGCCCGCAAGAUAUUGCGUGCCGUCUGCUAGUACCCGCCCGCUAUCGUGUCGUCUGCAACCACGCAACCAGACGGCGACCGACAGACGGGUUUUCAUCUGCUACGCCAGGCACGGCCCCAUUCGGCGGUGGGUGUCGUCUGCUAUCGGCUCUGCACAUCUGCCGAGGUGCGUUCCACACGCGAAGAGGGUGUUUUUGUGUUUGUAUUUGUUUUUCGUUUUCUCUCUUUUGCUUGUUUGCCGUUGCUCUGUUUAUAUAUAACUCUUAUCCGUACCUAUUUCCGAAAAGUAGGAGAUUCCGCGGCGCCUCAAUUAAAUACCGCGCGGGUCAGGGAGACGCUUUUAGAACGCGCGUCACGUGGGCGGUUCUUUUGAUACGAUACCUGCGGGAAUGAAAAAUGUCUACCAGGUCCGCGCGGUCGUGUAAUUGAGCCCUAUACCGUAUCGUUGCACCACUGAAAGAACAGGCGGUGGCUGUUGUAUUACCGGGUUUCGUUGAUCGAAGCCUCCGCGCCGGUAUUCCUCGGUCUGACGUCACGAAUUUCGACGUUACUUUUCUCGUAUUUUCGCCGGUUUGGCGCAGGGAAUGUACUUUGAACAUUACUAAGUUGUGUCUCUAAUGUCCUAAAUAUGCGACUUAGUUCUUCUUUAUGGAUAAACAGUGUACUUGACCCUAGAAAAUGCCGCCAGAAUAUAUGACGUCACGGUGUGCGGGAACUUCUGGGCAGCGUCGCCGUGCACGGUGUCAAAUUUCGUUGUGGCGUCCUUUCUGGCUUGCUCAGCCUCCUUUCGCGGCACCAGUGUUUAUUUUGUUACUGCAGACGCGUAAUUUACUAAAGCAGCUCAUCUUAGUAUUACUCUUUACAGGGCCUUUAAACAAAUCGAGAUCGAGUGAGAUUACUUUGCAACUGGCAAAUUUUAAAGGCCGACUGCAACGAAAUUUCGGACCGCGUAAGAAGGGCUGUAGUUUAAAACAGCACUAAUAUAGGGCAGCGUCCGCACUAAAGCUUGUGCUUGAGAAAAAACGAAAAAAAGAUCGCUAGAGCGCUUUAUACACAGAAGAAAAAAAAAACAUCACGCAGAAACUGCUAUGAGAGUUCUCUAAGUAUGCGUAAGCAUUGUGCCACUUACUCAUCUCCACGAAGCCCGGUGUCAUUGAUCCGACCAUGUAUGAACGACAACGCUGCGGCGACACGAAUUGCUAAAGGCAAGGUGAAUCGAUGACGCAAGCAAUGCAGGUGGCGGCGCCAGGUGCGCUGAUGACGUUCCGAUCAUUAUAAGCAGUUAUCGCUCUUUAGCGCCUUAUACAUCCGCGUCGAACCAUCAUGAACCGUGAUCGACCGUACUCCGGCCUGGAGACUGCGUAUGGUGCGGCCGCGCGGGCCCUAUCUUGAUAGCCAUCUGCGAUCGGGGACAGAGUGCGCCGAGCGCUGAUAAGUUUCGCGUGCGCUGCGUUCUCGCCGCCUAGUUCGCGUUGAAGCGAGAGGCAGCACGAAGGUCAAUUCGCUGAUUGCUGGGGGCCCUAUCUUGAAAGCGAUCGUCUUACGUGACGGACGGGCGGGUUUCCUCGUUGGGUAGGCAUAGAAAUGCUCACGCAUUUAAAAAAUGGUAUCAUUACCGCUCGUUGAAAGCCAGGUGGUGGCCUGGGCAUAGCCUCCGAGACCAGGCCCCGGUGUUCUGAAUGUGACGGUGGUCAUAGUUUAGGAUUUGCGUCGUAUUAGCUAACUACCAUACCGCGUCGUCUUAGAUGCUAUUCAAAGGCUGUUAAUAAUACUAUAUAUAUAAACAGCCAGCCCUAAAGCUUCGCUAAGGUUGCUUCAAUAGUAUAUAUUACUCAUUUAUAUUUUCACCAAUUUAGCCAACGCAAGAAGUUCGGUACAGUUGGCUGUUAAUCAGCCCUUUCGACUUCUUAUCAUUUGCGGUUUACCGGAAUUGUGCACGGUAGCCGCGACGCUGCUGGCGAGAUCUUGUGACGCAGGCUUUAACUAGAGAGCACACAAAUCAAAUGCUGCAGUAACCCGCCGUAUGCUGCUUAACUGCUGGUGCAAGGCGUUCCGACAUAAUCGUUAACGCGAAGUCCCUUCAUGAUUUUCCUUCGACGAGCAUACUCGAUCAUGCGACACAAAAAUGUUUCAAACACAUUGUAGUUGAACAAGGCCGCACAAGAUGCCAGCUUUACAUCUAUCGUCCACGGCUCCCUCCGGUAAACCGGUAAAUCGCCAAUUGCGGACAACCUAUAGAACUAUCUAAUGCUAACCAGCGCGAGAUGAAUUAUACGCAGACCGAGCAGAGAGGCCUGCGAUUGCGUCGUGACAGAGUUUUAACGUGUCCGGUAUUCCGGUGUGCAAUGCAUAGCGGAAUUCCGGUGUCCGGUAUUCCAAUGGCGUUUGCGUAAUACCGGGUUUACCGGACGCUGGUAUAGUGACUUCUUGUGACGCUUUCUCUACCCACAAAGCCUUAGAGACCCGUUUUCGUGUUCCGCUAAUGUUCUUUUCGAGAAAAAAAAAUAUUUAAAAAGGCAACGCGUCCGCGAUUACGCCGCUGCCGAAAUUUGCACCAGCAGCGAAUUAGAAUAAGCAUGGCUACUGCAGUCUUAUAAUACUUCCGUGUUUGCCUGGUAGAGAUUUGCCUCUUUGUCUGGUAAGCGUUUGGCGCCUCCGGCAAUCCGCGAAGCGCAAUAUGUUUGACGACCAACUAAAACUCUCGAUCUAGCCUGUGGAAAGAGCCCGCGGCCUCGGUGGCUUUACGAGUAUACUCGUAUAACCUAGACGGUAUAGCAUAAGGUCGUCGAGACUCUUCCUCGAUGCUGGGGGAAAAUCCAGGAAGCGGCAGCAACGGCGUGUGGGAAUACCCUCGUCUUUUUCCGAGUGUCAGGAGCUUGUCCGGGUGCACAACACGAGCGUGUACAUUAUGCGUGCGCGCAUGCAGCGACCAGCAGCAACAACCAGCCGCCGAACGGCGUGCACCUUGACUUGGAGCGGUGACAACAUAUUAUUCGGGCCGUUCACGCGCCGUGUAAAUUAGUUCGCGCACUCUUCCCGAAUGAUCAUAGUUACUCGUAAUGCCGUCCAGUAUAUCGGGACUAAGUGGCCACUUGGGUUAAUCGGCACGACCAAAACAAGGUUUUUGCUUGGUCUCAAGGUCAUUUAGUAACCGAACAUGCGAGAGACCCGACAGCUAGCGAUUUUGGCUUGGAUUGUGCGGUGUGGUAUAUACUGUCUUAGAAGUGUUUACGCGGCGUUUCAAGUCAAACUAAAACGAACAUUUAAUCUGCCUAAACAAAAUUAAAAAAGUAGCCAAUGUAACGCGUUAUACGGGAACACGCGUGGUAUAUAAGGCGAUAGCAAAUUGUGUUUUCGUUUGCAUUUCAUCUGCGCUGUUUGGAGUUUCGUUUAUUGCGAUAGCAAUUAUACGGACACUUGUCCAUGCGCAUUUAUGCAGUCGCCGUAGCCGUGAUGUUCCGUAUAAAUUUCCUUCGUUAUUCAUUUUCAUUCUGCGCUUGUUCCCGUCUGUCCUUCGGCUUACGUUUCGGAAUCGUGCAGAGGCCGUUAACUAGCCCAGUCUUUGACGUUACUAUAAGUUGCAGGAACUAACUCGAGUUCAUUGAACCUUCCACGUCCAGGCAAGAACAGGAGGAAAGAACCACCGCACCAAACGGAGCUCUUGAAGCGCAGGCCACGUACUAUAUACAGUGUACGAUUCGGACAAUGGGAACGGCAGGCCAUUCCUUUCGCACGAGCAUCGCGCGCAUACCAGGCACAUAUAUGGCAGGUCAUUGAGAUACAGAAGAAGAGAGAAAAAGAAAGAAGGAUACAAAGAGUAAAUCGCUAAUGAUGCGUGCGAACCAGGAGUCGCGUUCGCGUCUGAACUACUACAGAGAAAACACCCGAGCGUUGUACGCGCGGUAUAGGCCACAUACUGCAGGUAUAUGAAUGCACACACAAGCCUACUGGGUUUCCCUUUUUAAGAAAGCGUGUCGUUCUCUGCGGACGGUGUCGUAUACGCGGAGUCGUGCACGAGAUGUACGAUAUGGAGACAGGGGAAAAAAAGGAAUAGAUAGAAUGGGGUGAUCUACGAAGUCGUGCAGUAUAUAACGGAAGAGUGUCGGUGUUGGAAGCGUUGGCGAUCUCGGUCCAGGCUUUCGUGAGAUGCACUUAAAUGGCUGGAGUCUCUUAUAGCGUGCGGAAAGACGAGCUUGUGGAAUGCUUCGCAGGAUAACUUGCCCCGGCUUUCUCUCUCUCUUUUUUUUUUCUUCUUCACUUUCGAGGGAGGAAUUAUAACUGCGUACUGCCCACAACGCGAAGGCCCGAUAGAAGGUCGUAGACCACGAAAUUACCGUAAAAUCGCACUUACAGUAUACUGUUUUCUCCGAUCACAUUGGCACGUCAAACAAGGUUCUCCUGUUAUAUUUCGGUACAAUUGUUUUUUUAAGUAUUUAUUGGUCUCACGUGAUCAAACAAUAAUAAUAAUAAUAAUAAUAAUAAUAAUAAUAAUAAUAAUAAUAACAAGAGUGUUAUUUGGUCGCAUAUUAAGUAGAACUGGCACGGUCGCGGCUGUGUACAUAUCAGGUAGCGUCACUGGUGUGAAGACAGCCGCUCACUGCGCAAAUGCAUGCUCAAGGCACUAGGUGUCGCUGCAGCGGGGGACACGGCACGACACCUAUCGGAGAUCGCAAUCGACGAGAACACGCCGAGAGCAGAAGAGGACCCGCGUAAUAAACUCUGGAUUUAUCCGUGCCAAAACUACGGUCUGAUUAUGAAGCACGCCUUAGUGGGGACUCUCUAUGGAUCAAUUCUGACCACCUGUGGUUCUUUUAACGUGCAUCCAACGCACGGUACACGAAGGCUUUUUUUUUCCAUUCCGCCCCCAUCGGAAUGCGGCCAGAAUCAUUAGCGCAAUGCCAUAUAGCCAUUGAGCUAUACCGAAGCCGCAUAUCCUUGCAAGAAGGCGCGGUACCUGAGGAGUUAGCAGGUUGCAGAGACAAAUGUAAUGUCUCACUGUUAUAGGCGCUGCUUAUAUAGAAGGUGACGCGGGUUCUUACAGGAUAGUACGUACAUGCGAUGCCACAAAAAUGGAGGCAACGGGGGAAAAGUGAGACUUCGCGGAUUGCGUAACCACGCCAAAUCUUCAAACCUGACUUCCCUGUAACACGUUACUCGUCUUUGAAAAAAGAAAAGGAAAAAGCGGAAUGGCAUUCUAAGGAAUUUGCGACACUACAGCUCGUGAUUCCCGGUUUCCGCAUAUAGCGCGCGUCGGCGUGUGUUGGUGGGAAGUUCACGCCGCGCUUCAUUUCACCAUUGUGGGGGCGUUCGCGUUAGGCCUACCAGAUUGCUACCACAAAGGCGUCGUCAGCGGCAUGCGCACACCCUCCAUUUGCGCUGAUGCACGGCACGAAACAACACCGUCCGUCCCCUUUUUUUUUCUUUUUUUUUCGUUUCCUGCGCGGCAGAUUGCCAAAGGAGGCGCGGUCCACGCCUUUCGCGAAAUGCACACUCUAAAAGAUAGGCCUGCCGCGCCGCCUAUACGUCGUUAACAAUGGAAAGGCAUUAGGCCUAGCUGGUAUACGGAAGCCCCGAAGGGGUUGCUAAUAGGGCCACCUUCCACGCGUCUCUGCCAUAAAGCUGUGGCUGGGCUUUAUUUCAGAUGCGCGGUCAGUGUGACCGACUCGCGAUGGGCGUUGUCCGGCGCGCUGUUUCGGCCUCGGCAAGUUAGCGCGCGAUAACGUAUUCCAUUAAAGGAAUGAACACGAGAAAACAAGAGCAGGAGGACAUUGGAAUACCAAGAAGGCAGAGUGAUUAGGGUAAAGUGCGAGGGAGCAGGCGCGCUGUAUAGUACCUUUGUUGUGCGGACGAUGUUCGUAUGCGGCCACGCUGCGUAAUUUGUGAUGCAGACGACGUUGGUAUUGUGAGUAGCAGACGGCGCUAGUAUUGUGAGUAGCAGACGGCGCAUGCACGUCUGCAAUGGGUUCGCGGCGCGUGGUACGCCAUAUACACCUGCCGUAUGUGAAAGUGACAUCGCAGUUCGUACUCUCGUUUUGUGGAACGGAAACUCUCACAUUGACUCGUCAAGCGCGACUGAUAUAGAUAUCAGACUCUUGACAACUUUCUGACGAAUAAGUUCGUUUUCUUUUUUUCUUUUUUUUUUUAUGCUGCCCGCUUUGACAUCUCUGUGCGAACAGACGAUCGCGUUGCAGCUGUGUCGCUUGUAGCCGGCGCAUUUCGUUUCCCUGCAUUUCGUGUGAGACACUAUUCGUCAGCUAGAACCUCGGUGUUUGUGUCGUAUGCUGGAUUUUAUCCACUGAAAGUAAAGUAGGUUGGUUGGCCGCGGGGAGGCAUUAUGAUCACCUUUCCUUUUUGUGGGUCAAAGCAGUUUCGCAGCGUUUUCCCUUGUUUUUCCUCCUGUUUCGUGUUCGGGCCAAGGAUUGCCGACGAACAAAGAAAGCCCCGAAUGAAAAGAAAGAACUCGUGCCGAGAAACGCGAAGAAGGCCACGUUGGAUGCAGACGAGCAAGAUGUCCGCAAUCGCAUUCCCAAGUUCGCACGCUUACGAGUCUUGCAACGAGCUCGUUCCGAGCUGUCAUCAACGGCCAACGUCGUGGGAAAAGUCUCGCAGACGAUCUCGUUUGCGGUCACGCUAGCGGACGACAUUUGCGGGUGCGUUGCUGCUUACGCAUUCGUCUGCGCUUUCGCCAGACGACGUCGUCUGCGUUGAUUGCCGUUCUCCCAACCCAUUUUAUCUAAGCCUUAACUGUCGCCUGGGCCUGGGACUUCGUUCGCACUUCAUCCAUCCUCUGGUCAAGAUUAUGGUAUACGCACACUUUGGCUUUAUCGUCUGUUCGACCCGCGCGGUGAGCUGUCCCAGUUUAUUAAUCACCCGAGUGCGUCGCCCUGCUUCUCGGUCGUUGUCAGAUCGCUAGCGAAUCUAUCGUCUCCUCUCAAAGGAAAGUCAGCUCAGUGUGUCACUAGCGAGGAUGUUUGCUUGGACAUAAGCAUGAAAACAAGAGGAGCUAUGGCGCGUCGUCUGUUCCAUUUCGCCGACGCAACCCAUUUCAGCUGAUCGUCGCUAGCAGUCAAGCCAUCGUCUGCUCAGGAUAUCUGUCGUUUCACCGACGCCUCGUAAUUUGCCUAAUUAUAGCAUUAGUCUUCUGAAAUGCGUCGUCUGUGCGUCUUCAAAACGAUAGCCAACCUGUCGUCUGCACCGAAGCCUCAAAUGCUCCGAACUGCUCCUGCCUUUUUCGUCUGCUCAUCAACCUGUCGUCUGUUCCGAAGUGCUCCUUCUGCCGCUGCGAAGACGGAAGACGAAAGAAAAACACCAGAAGCCAAUCGGCAUCGCGAAAAAAAAAAUGACACGGUGAAGACGAUAACAUCUUCGUUCGUAGCUAGAGAAAAGGGUAGAAAAUAAAAAAAGAAAGAGCGAAGCAGAGAUAUUUAAGCACUGACCGUGCCCCACAUUCGUUCGGGGGUGACGACCAAGUAAAAACGCGGCCACGCGCGCUUGACUCGAGCAAGCUCGACGAACAAAGAUAACAAAUGCUCUUAAAGACGCACUAAGGGCUGCCGUAUAGUCAGCGCGUCAUACAUGCAUCGGCCGUUCACUCGAACGCGUUGGCGUUAAUGGCUCUCCGUUUUCGGGUACCUCGUCGUCGUUCUUUAAAAGGACGCGAGUUCUCUUCCAUCCUGUUCGCGCUGACCAGCUCGCGGAUGGCAGGACAGAGCAGAGGUAUUGUUACGCAAAUUUACUAUGCAGACUGCACUUAAAGGUCAACUGCGGUACUUUUUUUUUCUAAGUGACGCUUUCUUUGACGCUUCCCUCCACUUUGCGUGAAUGGCUGCUAUGGCCGACUUAACUGGGUCGCUCUCGGAUACAGCGUAAUCAAGGGUCGUGACUCUUUUUUUUUUUCCUUUUUUUUUU
Long non-coding RNA from Dermacentor silvarum, 10977 nucleotides. RefSeq lists it as uncharacterized. The record is from RefSeq and is a predicted model, not a curated record. The transcript is spliced from 3 exons. NCBI's taxonomy places the organism in Eukaryota, Metazoa, Arthropoda, Arachnida, Ixodida, Ixodidae.